ACACAGACGGGAGCCUUCUGCUAAAAUCUGAACAGUCUGGUUUCUUACUCUUUUAAACAGAACUUGGACAGAAGAGCUGACCACAAUAAAACAGAACUUCAGUGCCUUACUGUCAAUCUAAAUUCAUCAUAUGGAACCUAUCAUUCAAAUCAUGUUCCUGAGAAAAACUAAACCAGAGCAGAAGGAUUCCACAUUUCCUGACAACCUAUAUUGCGGACUGAGAUGAUGACAAAGGAGGCAACCCUUGAAGGACUAGCAUCCCUGGACAGAAGUACCUGCUUACAAACCCCCAAGUAUUGCUAUAAGCAGUUGAGGUAGCAGUUCAUGUGCCUUGAAUCCUUUACAGCUCUUGCCUGCAGAAGCACAGCUUGACCAGAAAUAGCCCUGUUUGAGCUGAUAACCUGUGUUUUUGCACAGUAGGCAAACCUCAUGCUGUCACAAGCAGCAGUGAUACAGCCUCACAUUUCGCUUCCCUUCAUCCCAAGGAGCCCUUUGCUAUUAUGCCAUUAGAGAUAAUGCAGAGCUUUGAAUUGAAACACCGCAGACACCAGUGGUGCAUGACAACUUUUCUAGCCCAUGAGCUGCCACCGUACAAUGGGACCUGCUCAGCUGCACCAGUCCACGUUGAGAGGAGAUAAUCAAUUCUGUAGAGGACAGUCUCAAGCUGUAACACCUUCCCCAGCUAAGGAGCUGAAGGAGCCUUGUGCUUCUCCUCGGAGAAGACGGAAAUGUAUCUGUCAAGAUUGCAAACGUAUAUACCCUCAGAAACCAAAAUAAAUACCCAAAAGAGUUUGAAUGUGGGAUGCAGAGUGGCACUGCUUGUGUUCUGGGAAUUGUUUGAAUUUUGGAGCACAGGAG
Pipra filicauda (Wire-tailed manakin) is the source of this 858-nucleotide long non-coding RNA. RefSeq lists it as uncharacterized. The record is from RefSeq and is a predicted model, not a curated record. NCBI's taxonomy places the organism in Eukaryota, Metazoa, Chordata, Aves, Passeriformes, Pipridae. The transcript is spliced from 3 exons.